UACGAAGGGGGCUAGCGUUGCUCGGAUUGACUGGGCGUAAAGGGCGCGUAGGCGGCUUGCCAAGUCCGGGGUGAAAGCCCCCAGCUCAACUGGGGAAGGGCCUCGAAUACUGGCGAGCUCGAGGGAGGUAGGGGUCGAGGGAACUUCUGGUGGAGCGGUGAAAUGCGUUGAUAUCAGAAGGAACGCCGGUGGCGAAAGCGCUCGACUGGAUCUCUACUGACGCUGAGGCGCGAAAGCUAGGGGAGCAAACGGG
This 253-nucleotide ribosomal RNA is filed under the name uncultured bacterium. RNAcentral describes it as "partial 16S ribosomal RNA". It matches the Rfam family "Bacterial small subunit ribosomal RNA", at positions 524 to 776 of the family's 1533-position model. The record is from RNAcentral.